UAGGGAAUCUUCCACAAUGGGGGAAACCCUGAUGCAGCGACGCCGCGUGAGUGAAGAAGUAUCUCGGUAUGUAAAGCUCUAUCAGCAGGAAAGAUAAUGACGGUACCUGACUAAGAAGCCCCGGCUAACUACGUGCCAGCAGCCGCGGUAAUACGUAGGGGGCAAGCGUUAUCCGGAUUUACUGGGUGUAAAGGGAGCGUAGACGGCAUGGCAAGUCUGAUGUGAAAACCCGGGGCUCAACCCCGGGACUGCAUUGGAAACUGUGUGGCUAGAGUGCAGGAGAGGUAAGUGGAAUUCCUAGUGUAGCGGUGAAAUGCGUAGAUAUUAGGAGGAACACCAGUGGCGAAGGCGGCUUACUGGACUGUAACUGACGUUGAGGCUCGAAGGCGUGGGGAGCAAACAGG
RNAcentral lists this ribosomal RNA (404 nucleotides) under uncultured bacterium. Its description in RNAcentral is "bacterial SSU rRNA". It matches the Rfam family "Bacterial small subunit ribosomal RNA", at positions 355 to 776 of the family's 1533-position model. The record is from RNAcentral.